AGAGUUUCAAGGUCAAAACGUCAUUCUUGCUUGCAAGAUAAGACGUUUGAACUUGAAACCCGCUAAACAUGAGGAAGUAGCUAUUUACGCAGUAAAUACGCGGAUUACGAAUGUUUACAUCGAUUUCGGGAGUGCCAGCGGCACGUAGAAAUCGAU
RNAcentral lists this small RNA (156 nucleotides) under human gut metagenome. Its description in RNAcentral is "Clostridiales-1 RNA". It matches the Rfam family "Clostridiales-1 RNA". The record is from RNAcentral.